This 66-nucleotide transfer RNA is filed under the name Cordylochernes scorpioides. RNAcentral describes it as "tRNA-OTHER". The record is from RNAcentral. Lineage: Eukaryota; Metazoa; Arthropoda; Arachnida; Pseudoscorpiones; Chernetidae.
UGCAUCGGCCGGGAAUCGAACCCGGGCCGGUGGCAGGCGAGCAUUCUACCACUGAACCACCGAUGG